This is a long non-coding RNA of Myotis myotis, 1464 nucleotides long. RefSeq lists it as uncharacterized. Lineage: Eukaryota; Metazoa; Chordata; Mammalia; Chiroptera; Vespertilionidae. The record is from RefSeq and is a predicted model, not a curated record. The transcript has 4 exons.
CUGGCAAGGUCUCCUAGAGUCGCUCCUAAUAAGCUCCUGGAAUAUCUCCUUAAACUUUGGGGAAAAUGAUGCUCACAGUAAAUCAGGCGGAGAUGCUGGGAAUUCCUUGGCAGAGGAACAGGUUAAAGGCUCAGAAAGAUCGUGGAGGAUGACAAUGAACCUUGAUUACCUGGACAUUUUGGACACUGGUCCACUAUACUGAUGACACCAUGCCAGUUGGACCCAGUAGCAGAAAGUGACUAGAGCUGUGAAUGCUUAGUGCAUAUCUUUUAUGUCGAAACAAGAAAAGUGGACUUCAAAUUUUGCUACAACUGUGCUAAGCACAAUGUGUGUCACCAUCACCAGAUUAAGCACUAAUCACAAUAUUCCAAACUCAUAGGAAAGUGACAGUUAAAAAAAUUAGGACAGCUAGAAUUUCUUCACAAGAAUUAAAAAUGUAAAUGAAGCUGCAACCAAAGCAAGUUUCCAAGUGGCUUAUUAGCAAGCAAAGAAAGUGGUUUACCAAUAUUAAGUUAAUAAGAUUGUAUUUGAUUGGAAAAGUUGAAGAAAUGUGUCCAGAGAAAAUAAACCUGUUUAAAACAAUCAAACUAUGGUAAGAACAGUUGGUCCAAGAGUUGGGGACCUUGGUUGCAACAUCAACAGUUGUUACAAAAAGAAGGCUGAUGGUUCUGGGUAUUUUUCCUUGUAUCUUAAUGAGUUGACAGAUGCUACCGGCACUGCUCAGUUGUUGUUUACUUGAGGUAGCAACGCCAGGUUUGAAGUGACUGAAGAAUUGGGUUCGUCUGUGUAGAACAAGUACAAGUGAGAAUAUUUUCAAAGAAGUUGAGAAAAUCUCUAAUACAGAACAACCUGAAGUGGAAUCUGCUAAGAUGUGUUACAACUCCUAGUGGUAGAAAUUUGUGUGGAACAGAAAAGGUUUAAUUGGACAAAUUUACAAAGCUUAUGAAAAAGUAGAAGGUUAAAGCCUGCAGUUACUCGUGUGAUUUAUCGGCAGAUACUAUGCAGAAAAUACAGCCAUGUGCUACUUAGCAACAGGGAGAUGUCCUGAGAAAUGCAUCGCUCGGCAAUUUCGUCGUUGUAUGGACAUCGUAGAGUGCACUCACACAGACCUGGGUGGCACAGCCUACUACACACCCAGCUAUAUGGGAUAACCUAUGGCGCCUAGGCCACGGCAUGUUACUGUGCCGAAUGCUGUAGGCGAUGUGAAGGCCAAAGCCCCAAAUCCAGAGACAGGCUGAGGAAGAUACGUAAGUGAAGUCAUGGUGUGGCGACCUCGACCAACAACUUCACAAUGGAUAAGAUUGUAUUUGGACGUGGGAGUGCAAUGUGCAGAGAGCCAACACGCAGAAGGCAACAGGGCUGCUCAAAAGGUGGAGCCUCACAACCUGCUCUUUCUAGUGAUGUCCAGAGACUGGCGUUUGCAAUGUUAGCAAGACAAUAAAAAAAGAAAAGAAAAGAAAAUUA